Molecule: small RNA, 460 nt
Filed under: Pongo abelii (Sumatran orangutan)
Lineage: Eukaryota; Metazoa; Chordata; Mammalia; Primates; Hominidae
Description: processed transcript
Source: RNAcentral
GCAUUUAAAAUGUUUCACGUGAUUAAACACGGAAAUAAACGUUAUUACUUCUGUUUCUUAGGCCUGUGCUCCUCUAACUGAUUCUUCUUUUGUGCCUGGAACAACGCCUUUAAUUUGAAAACAAAGCUAUUAAGAAUGGCAAAGGAUUGCAUAGCAAGAAGGAAGUGCCUAUCCACCGUGUUGCAGAUAUAUCUGGGGAUACCCAAAAAGCAAAGCAGUUCCUGCCUUUUCUUCAGCGGGCAGGUCGUUCUGAAGCUGUGGUGGAAUACGUCUUCAGUGGUUCUCGUCUCAAACUCUAUUUGCCAAAGGAAACUUGCCUUAUCACCUUCUUGCUUGCAGGUGGAGGUGGAGGUGGAGAGCAUGGACAAGGCCGGCAACUUUAUCGGCUGGCUGCACAUCGAUAGCGCCAACCUGUCCGUCCUGCUGGUGGAGCACGCACUCUCCAAGGUCCACUUCACUG